GCGCCACUAGCUCAGCUGGUAGAGCAUCCGACUCUUAAUCGGCAGGUCCGCGGUUCGAUCCCGCGGUGGCGCA
Molecule: transfer RNA, 73 nt
Filed under: Desulfosporosinus acididurans
Lineage: Bacteria; Bacillati; Bacillota; Clostridia; Eubacteriales; Desulfitobacteriaceae
Description: Desulfosporosinus sp. M1 tRNA
Rfam family: tRNA
About the family: Transfer RNA (tRNA) molecules are approximately 80 nucleotides in length.
Source: Rfam by way of RNAcentral